GGGGGCGACUAUGGUUUCGACGUUCUUUACGAAGCUAAUGGUGCAUGCCGAGCAAUGCUGAAUAUCUCGUUAAAAGGGUCAGUACUUAAAGUAAAUGCAAAUCAAAAGAGAAGCGUUGAAGCAAUAGCUGCUUAAGCUUAUUGUUUCCUUUCAGUAUGAGAUUGUCUAUUGUCUCACUCUGAGAGUCAUAUUUAGAUAGAAUCGCUUAUAUGCCUUCUCCGUAUAUAAGUUAAACUUAGAGAUCGCUCAUACGAUGGUAUGGCUGCUGAUCUUGUAUGGGUUAAACCAAACAGCAGUACUAAGCAUGUAGAGCUAGAGGCCUAGACUGUGCGGACGCGGGUUCGACUCCCGCCGCCUCCACUG
Molecule: transfer-messenger RNA, 363 nt
Filed under: Candidatus Comchoanobacter bicostacola
Lineage: Bacteria; Pseudomonadati; Pseudomonadota; Gammaproteobacteria; Candidatus Comchoanobacterales; Candidatus Comchoanobacteraceae
Also listed under: 1 other name
Rfam family: transfer-messenger RNA
About the family: Bacterial tmRNA, also known as 10Sa RNA or SsrA, is named for its dual tRNA and mRNA-like properties.
Source: RNAcentral